AGUGAACGCUGGCGGUAGGCCUAACACAUGCAAGUCGAACGGCAGCACAGAGGAGCUUGCUCCUUGGGUGGCGAGUGGCGGACGGGUGAGGAAUACAUCGGAAUCUACUCUGUCGUGGGGGAUAACGUAGGGAAACUUACGCUAAUACCGCAUACGACCUACGGGUGAAAGCAGGGGAUCUUCGGACCUUGCGCGAUUGAAUGAGCCGAUGUCGGAUUAGCUAGUUGGCGGGGUAAAGGCCCACCAAGGCGACGAUCCGUAGCUGGUCUGAGAGGAAGAUCAGCGACAGUGGAACUGAGACACGGUCCAGACUCCGACGGGAGGCAGCAUUGGGGAAUAUUGGGCAAUGGGCGCAAGCCUGAUCCAGCCAUACCGCGUGGGUGAAGAAGGCCUUCGGGUUGUAAAGCCCUUUUGUUGGGAAAGAAAUCCAUCUGGUUAAUACCCGGGUGGGAUGACGGUACCCAAAGAAUAAGCACCGGCUAACUUCGUGCCAGCCGCCGCAGUAA
This 506-nucleotide ribosomal RNA is filed under the name uncultured bacterium. RNAcentral's name for it is "partial 16S ribosomal RNA". It matches the Rfam family "Bacterial small subunit ribosomal RNA", at positions 29 to 523 of the family's 1533-position model. The record is from RNAcentral.